GGAAGGCGGUGAAGUUCAGGUGAGCUCUGGUCAAAGCUCAGCAUGGGUCAGAACACAAAUGAUGUCGCUUCGAUGUAUUGAGGAUUAAUACAUAUUCUUGGAUACAAUCCUACAGAGAACAGAGGCAUACGGAGAAACCAUCACGUCAAAUGCAAAUGACCAGGUCCUUUCCAGGUGUUUUUACCAAGGGCAGAGGCGCUUUCCUUGUUCCUGUCAAGAGACUUAAACCACUUGAUGUGGCUUUCUAUUUGUUGCCAAAGCAGUGUGAAAAAAUAAAAUAAAAAGAGGAGCAUAUAGUCCAUAUGCAUGCAGGAUUGGGCUGUAGGACUGCUCAUCUAGAUGAAAGCACAACACAUGAAGAGUUAUGUGAAGCCCUCAAAGUUUUAUUUCCAAAAUUGGGGGCUGUGACCGGUGGGUGGCUGCUAUACAAAUCUGCAGGUGGAUGGGGUAGCCGAAAACUCUCUCGUGGCUCCUGAUGAGACUGGCUAUACAGUUAUAAAUCCACCAACUUUUGCAGCUCUUAGAAUUUGAGUCAACGAGAGAAGCUUGCAAUGCAAUGCAAUGGAUGUAGUGUUCCUUACCUAGCAAGGUGACUGUUCAAAUGCUGGCGUGAGUUCAAAUGCUGGAGAGAGUACUGAAGUCACGCGCAAAAUAACCCCUCACGCUGGGGGGUCGGUAAGGAAUAAUUGAAACUCACGCGUGAAAAGGUUAAUAGGCAGCUGUUAAACAAACUGUCAGUCAGAUAUUUCUUGCCAGCCACAUCAUAAACCAUGCUAAUAUAAAGUUAGCUAAUAGCUAACAUAACGCUAGCUAGCUAACAUAACGCUGGCUAAUAGCUAACACACAUUUAACGAACGCCACCACAUUAAAAGUUCCCUGUAGACAUUGUUCAACAAAUUAUGUUAAUGUGCAACGUGUCCGGUAACUAUUACUGACUUUUACGAACACAAAAAGUAAAUAAAGAGUACACUCACCGAUGCGCCAUCAUUUGUGUUCUGAGCCAUGCUGAGCUCUGACCAGAGCUCACCUGAACUUCACCACCUUCCUGUUUCGGUGUCACAUGACCAAUGGAGCGUAACUUGAUUGGCUGGAUGUUGGAUGAUUUGAUACAGGGAUCAAUUGCUUCUCCUUGGUUACCCGGAUGUUGACUCUGACUAUUUUUACACUGAAUCUUUUGAUACAUACAUUUUUUUUACAUUAAAAUUUUUUAAACAUUGAGAAAAAAAUUCAUAGGCCAAAAAAAGUCUGUGCUAGAAAUUCGAUGGCUUUUAAAAGUCUGAUUUAGAUGCUAAAUAAAAUGUGUUAAAAACUAAAAAUUCGAAUUCAAAAUCCGAUGGCACAGAUUUACUUCCAUAGAUUUUGAUUAACGGUAAAUAAUUAUUUUAAUCGUUUGACAGCACUAGUUUUAAUCUUGCUUAUACAAGAUUUCAAUAUUGCUUACGAAUUUCACAAUAGUCAUUACAAAAUACUCCAGUCCGGUUUUUGUCCCGAACAUAGUGCUGAUACUUAACUUGUGAAGGUGUUAAAUUACGUUUUAAGACCAAGUUUCUGCUUCUGUCCUAAAGCUUCUGGACCAUGGUUCUGCCUUCGACUUCCUUCUUUUGGAGAUUGGAAACCCAAAUUGACAUACACAGACAGAUUUAUGGUCCGAUCUCACAUUGAACCUUGAGGCUUGUACAGUCAUUUACCCUCAAAAAACAGUGAGGGACCUAGGGUGUUACUCUACAACCUGAUCCUUUUUUUUUGUAAAACAUUUAAAUGUACUUCAAAAGCAUCUAUUUUCAAUAUUGCAAAACAUUUCAAAAAAUCUGAAACUUUAAAAAACAAUGCAGAAUGAGAUAGUCUUAGUGUUUCUUAUUUUAAGAUUAGACUUUUGUAAUUUUCUUCACACAACCCUGAUAAGACAAUAAAUUAGUAUUAAUUAGUGCUAAAUGCAGUCACUAGAAUCUGAACUGGAACCAAAAAAUAUCACAAUACUCCAAUACUAGCCUCUCUACACAGACUAGGUCUAACUUUAAGGGGUUACUGUUGCAAGCUGCAAAUUAUUACAUGGUCUCGCUCCUACUUACCUGUCUGAAUUGGUCCUGCCGUACAUACUUAUACAUAUGCUGCAGUGUCAAGAUGCAGGCCUCUUUACUCCUGAAUGACUCAAGCUUUAGACCUCCAUUAUUGUGGAAUGAUCUACCUACAAUAAUUAAUACAAAGUGUUUACUGAAGAUUCAUAUCAUCAGUAGGGUCUAUAACUAAUUGUAAUAUUGGUCAGGGUUCACUGGCAUGCUUGUAGUAUACCCAGGUUUUUUCCUGGCUCAGAAUGGGCCUUUGGGUGUGACUACGCACGACAGUAAGCAUGAUGGAUCCACGUACAGUAAAGGCAAUGAGUUACCUUAUGACAGAAAUCUAUGCAUUUUCUUAUUUCUGACCAUUUGAUAAAUAGAAAUGUCUAUCAUGCUUGAAUAAAUGAAACCCCAUUAACAAAACUGGUUAAAAAAUACAUGUAUUACAACAUUGGAAGGGGGAGAGGGG
This is a long non-coding RNA of Esox lucius (northern pike), 2523 nucleotides long. NCBI's taxonomy places the organism in Eukaryota, Metazoa, Chordata, Actinopteri, Esociformes, Esocidae. The record is from Ensembl.